This 1343-nucleotide ribosomal RNA is filed under the name uncultured bacterium. RNAcentral describes it as "16S ribosomal RNA". It matches the Rfam family "Bacterial small subunit ribosomal RNA", at positions 28 to 1378 of the family's 1533-position model. The record is from RNAcentral.
GACGAACGCUGGCGGCGUGCUUAACACAUGCUUUUCGAACGGAAAGGCCCUGCUUUUGUGGGGUGCUCGAGUGGCGAACGGGUGAGUAACACGUGAGUAACCUGCCCUUGACUUUGGGAUAACUUCAGGAAACUGGGGCUAAUACCGGAUAGGAGCUCCUGCUGCAUGGUGGGGGUUGGAAAGUUUCGGCGGUUGGGGAUGGACUCGCGGCUUAUCAGCUUGUUGGUGGGGUAGUGGCUUACCAAGGCUUUGACGGGUAGCCGGCCUGAGAGGGUGACCGGCCACAUUGGGACUGAGAUACGGCCCAGACUCCUACGGGAGGCAGCAGUGGGGAAUAUUGCACAAUGGGCGGAAGCCUGAUGCAGCAACGCCGCGUGCGGGAUGACGGCCCUCGGGUUGUAAACCGCUUUCGCCUGUGACGAAGCGUGAGUGACGGUAAUGGGUAAAGAAGCACCGGCUAACUACGUGCCAGCAGCCGCGGUGAUACGUAGGGUGCGAGCGUUGUCCGGAUUUAUUGGGCGUAAAGGGCUCGUAGGUGGUUGAUCGCGUCGGAAGUGUAAUCUUGGGGCUUAACCCUGAGCGUGCUUUCGAUACGGGUUGACUUGAGGAAGGUAGGGGAGAAUGGAAUUCCUGGUGGAGCGGUGGAAUGCGCAGAUAUCAGGAGGAACACCAGUGGCGAAGGCGGUUCUCUGGGCCUUUCCUGACGCUGAGGAGCGAAAGCGUGGGGAGCGAACAGGCUUAGAUACCCUGGUAGUCCACGCUGUAAACGGUGGGUACUAGGUGUGGGGUCCAUUCCACGGGUUCCGUGCCGUAGCUAACGCUUUAAGUACCCCGCCUGGGGAGUACGGCCGCAAGGCUAAAACUCAAAGGAAUUGACGGGGCCCCGCACAAGCGGCGGAGCAUGCGGAUUAAUUCGAUGCAACGCGUAGAACCUUACCUGGGUUUGACAUGGAUCGGGAGUGCUCAGAGAUGGGUGUGCCUCUUUUGGGGUCGGUUCACAGGUGGUGCAUGGCUGUCGUCAGCUCGUGUCGUGAGAUGUUGGGUUAAGUCCCGCAACGAGCGCAACCCUUGUUCACUGUUGCCAGCACGUUAUGGUGGGGACUCAGUGGAGACCGCCGGGGUCAACUCGGAGGAAGGUGGGGAUGACGUCAAGUCAUCAUGCCCCUUAUGUCCAGGGCUUCACGCAUGCUACAAUGGCUGGUACAGAGAGUGGCGAGCCUGUGAGGGUGAGCGAAUCUCGGAAAGCCGGUCUCAGUUCGGAUUGGGGUCUGCAACUCGACCUCAUGAAGUCGGAGUCGCUAGUAAUCGCAGAUCAGCAACGCUGCGGUGAAUACGUUCCCGGG